RNAcentral lists this ribosomal RNA (254 nucleotides) under uncultured bacterium. Its description in RNAcentral is "partial 16S ribosomal RNA". It matches the Rfam family "Bacterial small subunit ribosomal RNA", at positions 524 to 776 of the family's 1533-position model. The record is from RNAcentral.
UACGUAGGCAGCGAGCGUUGUUCGGAGUUACUGGGCGUAAAGGGUGUGUAGGCGGUUGUUUAAGUUUGGUGUGAAAUCUCCCGGCUCAACUGGGAGGGUGCGCCGAAUACUGAAUGACUUGGAGUGCGGGAGAGGAGAGUGGAAUUCCUGGUGUAGCGGUGAAAUGCGUAGAUAUCAGGAGGAACACCGGUGGUGUAGACGGCUCUCUGGACCGCAACUGACGCUGAAACACGAAAGCGUGGGUAGCAAACAGG